Molecule: ribosomal RNA, 406 nt
Filed under: uncultured bacterium
Lineage: Bacteria
Description: partial 16S ribosomal RNA
Rfam family: Bacterial small subunit ribosomal RNA
Source: RNAcentral
AUUGAACGCUGGCGGCAGGCCUAACACAUGCAAGUCGAGCGAGCGGCGGACGGGUGAGCAAUGUAUGGGGAUCUGCGCGAGAGAGGGGGAUAACUACUGGAAACGAUGGCUAAUACCGCAUACUAGAGGAUGGACCCAUGUGGGAAUAGCUAGUGGGGGGGGGAAAGGCUUACCAAGGCGACGAUCUGUAGCUGGGCUGAGAGGAUGAUCAGGCACACUGGAACUGAGACACGGUCCAGACUCCUACGGGAGGCAGCAGUGGGGAAUAUUGCACAAUGGGCGCAAGCCUGAUACAGCCAUGCCGCGUGUGUGAAGAAGGCCUUCGGAUUGUAAAGUACUUUAAGCGGGGAGGCGUUACCAACAGAAGAAGCACCGGCUAACUUCGUGCCAGCAGCCGCGGUAAUUC